UCGAGAAGAUUCCUUGCUUAGCCUAUAUGAAUAGGAAGUCAUGACCUGUCACGAUAGAUGUCAGGCAACACAUUUUAAAGAGGCAUUUUCCCUUCUCUCUGUUGACUGGAAGGUGAAAUGACUAGUGUGGUAAAGAAUUGAGAGCCAUCUCCAUGGAGUGGCAUACUCAAGACGUGUGCUCUGGCAGGAGAACCAGUACCAGUGGAAAUAUGAUGAUCUAAAUUCCUGAUGGACAUUCCUCCACAAUGGCAUCCUCUUCCUCUGGAGUAUGGUGAAGCAAAACUAACCUUGCUCAAAGACAAGUGCUCUGCUCUAACUCAAAAACAAACUGAAAAGCUGAGUACCAGGCAAGGAAAUCUGUGGAGCAGUAGUCACAAUGGUGAAAAUGCACUGAUGACAUCUGCCAGUUCGAUACACUGAUGACAUCUGCCAGCUCAGAAGUGCAGCUCCUGCAGAGCUCCUGCCUGGCUGACAGACAAGACUUGCACUCUUCUAGACAAGCCGAGUCUAAGCAGUAGACAGCCUGUGAAAAGUUGUUGUAAUUCAUGCCAGGACCAUCAAGGACAUUUCUGGACAUCAUUGUGAACUCAUUUAUGGAUUUUAUGACCAGCUGUUUGUCAGGAAUGAUGAGGCUGUGCACUUAGAAACACCAGUCCUCUGCAAAGGAACGUAGUGUCCCAUCUUGCAUUCCUGCUGGUGACAAUGCCAGGUCUGAGCAGGGCUUGCAGACCGCCUCAGCAGUCCUGGAAGAUGAGGGAUAUCCGCAGUGCCAAAAUGCUUAUCCUGGGCUACAGCUGUGUCAUCACAAAGCUGGAAUGUACAGUAUACACUUUCCAGGGGCAUAGCUCUGAGCACAGAAAUGUGUAUACCAUCAACAGCACCUGCCCCUCUAUGGAGCAGUUCAGCUGUUGCGAUAGCUGAUGAGCUAAAUUUAAGGUUUGCACAUGCUUGAUUCAAUUUAAUACCUUCCAAGGGGAGCUUAGAGGGGGGGAAAAAAAUCCAGCUUUUGGAUCUACAUUUAUGCAGGGUUUUACAAUAUUUUUUCUCUUUUAAGUUUAUACUUAGCUGGAUUGGAAGUCACACUGUGUUUUUAUAGU
Molecule: long non-coding RNA, 1097 nt
Organism: Vidua chalybeata
Lineage: Eukaryota; Metazoa; Chordata; Aves; Passeriformes; Viduidae
Exons: 3
Source: RefSeq, a predicted model, not a curated record